GCCUUCGAGGAUCAGUGGCGAUCAUCCCCAUCAAUUCAUACGGCGUCUACAAAGAUGUCCAGGGAAGGUGGGGGUUCGAAUCCUCCCGAAGGCA
Molecule: non-coding RNA, 94 nt
Organism: Mycena vulgaris
Lineage: Eukaryota; Fungi; Basidiomycota; Agaricomycetes; Agaricales; Mycenaceae
Source: the annotation of a GenBank genome assembly